This 71-nucleotide transfer RNA is filed under the name Canis lupus familiaris (dog). It matches the Rfam family "tRNA". Rfam says of the family: Transfer RNA (tRNA) molecules are approximately 80 nucleotides in length. The record is from Rfam by way of RNAcentral. RNAcentral also lists the same sequence under 1 other name. Lineage: Eukaryota; Metazoa; Chordata; Mammalia; Carnivora; Canidae.
ACUACUGGCUCAGUCGGUAGAGCAUGUGACUCUUGAUCUCAAGACCAUGAGUUCAAGCCCUAUGUUCAGUG